UACGAAGGGGGCUAGAGUUGUUCGGAAUUACUGGGCGUAAAGCGCACGUCGGCGGACUCUUAAGUCAGGGGUGAAAUCCCGGGGCUCAACCUCGGAACUGCCUUUGAUACUGUGAGUCUCGAGACCGGAAGAGGUGAGUGGAAUUCCUAGUGUAGAGGUGAAAUUCGUAGAUAUUAGGAAGAACACCAGUGGCGAAGGCGGCUCACUGGUCCGGUUCUGACGCUGAGGCGCGAAAGCGUGAGGAGCAACCAGC
This 253-nucleotide ribosomal RNA is filed under the name uncultured bacterium. RNAcentral describes it as "partial 16S ribosomal RNA". It matches the Rfam family "Bacterial small subunit ribosomal RNA", at positions 524 to 776 of the family's 1533-position model. The record is from RNAcentral.